This 119-nucleotide ribosomal RNA is filed under the name Pteropus alecto (black flying fox). The record is from RNAcentral. Lineage: Eukaryota; Metazoa; Chordata; Mammalia; Chiroptera; Pteropodidae.
GUCUACGGCCAUGCCACCCUGAACAAGCCAGAUCCCAUCUGAUCUCGGAAGCUAAGCAGGGUCGGGCCUGCUUAGUACUUGGGAGGGAGACCACCUAGGAAGACUGGGUGCUGUAGCUG